CAGCCGCCGCGGUAAUACGAGGGGAGCUAGCGUUGUUCGGAAUUACUGGGCGUAAAGCGCGCGUAGGCGGCUUUUUAAGUCAGAGGUGAAAGCCCGGGGCUCAACCCCGGAAUUGCCUUUGAAACUGGAAAGCUAGAAUCUUGGAGAGGUCAGUGGAAUUCCGAGAGUAGAGGUGAAAUUCGUAGAUAUUCGGAAGAACACCAGUGGCGAAGGCGACUGACUGGACAAGUAUUGACGCUGAGGUGCGAAAGCGUGGGGAGCAAACAGGAUUAGAUACCCCCGUAGUCCCUGUCUCUUAUAC
This 301-nucleotide ribosomal RNA is filed under the name uncultured bacterium. Its description in RNAcentral is "partial 16S ribosomal RNA". It matches the Rfam family "Bacterial small subunit ribosomal RNA", at positions 509 to 807 of the family's 1533-position model. The record is from RNAcentral.